AUACGGAGGGUGCAAGCGUUAAUCGGAAUUACUGGGCGUAAAGCGCGCGUAGGCGGCUUGAUAAGUCGGAUGUGAAAUCCCCGGGCUUAACCUGGGAAUUGCAUUCGAUACUGUCAGGCUAGAGUGUGGUAGAGGGAAGUGGAAUUUCCGGUGUAGCGGUGAAAUGCGUAGAUAUCGGAAAGAACAUCAGUGGCGAAGGCGGCUUCCUGGAUCAACACUGACGCUGAGGUGCGAAAGCGUGGGGAGCAAACAGGAUUAGAAACCCCGGUAGUCC
RNAcentral lists this ribosomal RNA (274 nucleotides) under uncultured bacterium. RNAcentral's name for it is "partial 16S ribosomal RNA". It matches the Rfam family "Bacterial small subunit ribosomal RNA", at positions 523 to 796 of the family's 1533-position model. The record is from RNAcentral.